This 253-nucleotide ribosomal RNA is filed under the name uncultured bacterium. Its description in RNAcentral is "partial 16S ribosomal RNA". It matches the Rfam family "Bacterial small subunit ribosomal RNA", at positions 524 to 776 of the family's 1533-position model. The record is from RNAcentral.
UACGGAGGGUGCAAGCGUUAUCCGGAUUCACUGGGUUUAAAGGGUGCGUAGGUGGGCAAGUAAGUCAGUGGUGAAAUCUCCGGGCUUAACCCGGAAACUGCCAUUGAUACUAUUUGUCUUGAAUACUGUGGAGGUCAGCAGAAUAUGUCAUGUAGCGGUGAAAUGCUUAGAUAUGACAUAGAACACCAAUUGCGAAGGCAGCUGGCUACACAAAUAUUGACACUGAGGCACGAAAGCGUGGGGAUCAAACAGG